This 433-nucleotide ribosomal RNA is filed under the name uncultured bacterium. RNAcentral's name for it is "partial 16S ribosomal RNA". It matches the Rfam family "Bacterial small subunit ribosomal RNA", at positions 29 to 507 of the family's 1533-position model. The record is from RNAcentral.
AACGAACGCUGGCGGCAUGCCUAACACAUGCAAGUCGAACGAGACCUUCGGGUCUAGUGGCGCACGGGUGCGUAACGCGUGGGAACCUGCCCUUAGGUUCGGAAUAACUCCCCGAAAGGGGUGCUAAUACCGGAUAAUGUCUUCGGACCAAAGAUUUAUCGCCUUUGGAUGGGCCCGCGUUGGAUUAGCUAGUUGGUAGGGUAAAAGCCUACCAAGGCGACGAUCCAUAGCUGGUCUGAGAGGAUGAUCAGCCACACUGGGACUGAGACACGGCCCAGACUCCUACGGGAGGCAGCAGUAGGGAAUAUUGGACAAGGGGCGAAAGCCUGAUCCAGCAAUGCCGCGUGAGUGAGGAAGGCCGUAGGGUUGUAAAGCUCUUUUAGCCGGGAUGAUAAUGACAGUACCGGGAGAAGAAGCACCGGCUAACUCCGUG